RNAcentral lists this long non-coding RNA (1359 nucleotides) under Ananas comosus (pineapple). RNAcentral describes it as "long non-coding RNA (ACOM_LNC017187)". Lineage: Eukaryota; Viridiplantae; Streptophyta; Magnoliopsida; Poales; Bromeliaceae. The record is from RNAcentral.
UAAUAUAUAGAAUUGAGCUCCCAUGCUUUUAAAAGUACCAAGUUAUUAGUGCUUAUAGAUUUUUAGCGAUUGGAUUAAGAAAUAUGCGGUUAGGAUGAUGUGGACCCUCUAGGGUUGAGUGGGUGGUUGGUUGAAUAGUAUAAUCUAAUGGUUGAAAAUGAUCCGAGGAGUAAAUCUAACGGUAAAAAACUUACAAGCACCAAGUGCUUGGUGCUCUUACAAGCACCAUAGCUGAACACUAUAGUCAUAAAUAAUUUGUUUGAUUUUAUGUAGUUGAGAAUUUGUAUUUAUAAAUUUUAUAUUUAUACGUACGACGAAAAAAGUUACCCUCUCUAAUCGCUGCAAGUUGAGAUUACAACCAAUUUAAAUAUUUUCUAUAGUCAUUAGUAUUUUCUACUUAAAAAUAAUUAGAAAAUUAAUUUUAUUUUUGUUUAAAGUUACUUUCUCUAACCACUACAAAUUGAAAUUGCAGCCAAAUUGAUCAUAAUUCUAACAACUGCAGUUGAGCUUCCUUGUGCAGUAGUAUAUGAGAAUACUACCAGUAGAAAAUUAAAGGAUAUUAUUGAUUUAUUUUCGACAACAGAGCAUACGAAUUGAUGAUCUGUAUUGUUGUACAUGAUCUAAAUCAUUUGAAGUAUCUGAAAACUAAUUUUCAUACUUUUUCGAUAUCAUUUGAUAAGAUCACAAAAUUUAUAAUUCAAUGGUUGAUAUCGGACAUAUGUUCAUUUUAGUGGUGUGGGAGAACUCAAAUCAAUUAAAUUUUUAUUAGAAUGUUUUCUGAACUAUUUUAACCAAAAUCAACAUCCCUAAAAUCCUAGAUAUAGAAAUCAUAUUCUUAUAUUUUUACUGUCCAUCUUUCUUUAUUUGCAUAAUGUAUGAAAAAAAGGGUUAAAAUAUAAAAAAAAAUUCUGUAAAUGUUUGGUUUUUUUUAUUUUUUUAAUUGACUUUAAAAAAUCUAUAUUUUGAUCAUUUAAAAUUUUAGAAAUGUUUUUAGAAAUUACGAUGUCAAUAGAGACGGAGAAAUGACCAAACUAUCCUUACUUGUUCAAAGUAAUUAUUUAAUAUAUUUCUAUCAAUUUUAAGGGCGUUUUCCAUAUAAAGUAUAAGAAAUGGACGAAAUAGUGAUGAAAGGGAACUAAAUAUAUCAACUUAAAAUUUUGAGAGGAUAAAAUGUAAGUUUUUAAAAGUCGGAGAGGAAAAAUAAAAAAGCAGGUAUCUACAGAAAAGUUUUCUGUAUAAAAAAUAUGAGAAUUAGUGUCCAACAUGCUUCAAAUUGUUAACCGUACAGGUCACCAAUCCCUAAAUAUUAGAGCCGAUUUACUACCGAUAGUAUUUUAGUCUAACUUGUGCAUGGGUUUG